Molecule: long non-coding RNA, 2740 nt
Organism: Pseudopipra pipra
Lineage: Eukaryota; Metazoa; Chordata; Aves; Passeriformes; Pipridae
Exons: 2
Source: RefSeq, a predicted model, not a curated record
CGCUGUGACAACCGGAGCCACCCGCGGGGCCGAGCGCGGCCGGGCCGCCCCUCACGGCUGGGCCGCAGCCCGGCCGAGGGACUGGGUUUAGUCUAGGGAAAAAAAGAUAUCACUGAGAGAGGAUCUCAUCCAUACAUUUAAAUAUCCCCAAGGGGAUGGUGCCAGGCUCUUCUCGGUGGUGCCCAGAGACAGCACGAGGAGCAAUGGCUAUAAACUAAAACUCAAGUUCCUCCUCAACACGAGGGAGAACAUGAGAAAUGGUCUUAUUAUGCAGGAAAUUCUCUGUAUUCUGGCUUUUUUCGAAGCCCCUUCACUCAGUCGGCCUCGGCAGUGACCUACAUAACUCCCGUGGCCAAGUUCAGCCACCUCAGACAGUGAAGAGCCUCCCACACUAAUACAAUUACAGAUAAAUCAGUGCAGGCAGGGAAGAGAAGGGCUCGCCUUCCUCGAAAGACCAAGAAGAAUGAAAGGGAGAAGCUCAUGAGGAAAAGGAGAGAGUACAGUACAUCACAGCCCCCCCCCCCAGUCCAUAUUAAGCAGCAAUAAUAACCCGAAUGAAAAAGACUUGAUUUGUAUUUUAUGUCACAUUUUUUAUGUUUUAUUUGUGAGCUGCGGAAUUCAAAAGUAGUCACUCUUUAAAGAGAUUUGAUUUGCCUCAAUGCAAGGUAGUGCUUUCCAACUCUUUGCAGAGGAAAACACCCUGAAACUCUGCCUUUGCAAAGGGAGCUGAUGAGGACUGCAUUCCAGCUCCUGCCUGCCUCCUGCAGAUGUUGAGGACAGGUUGUCUUGCUGAAUGCAAGUUUUACUUCACUCCUCUGCAAAGCAGCAGCUUCACAGAGCUUGCUAGAGCUUGGCAGGACUCAGGGCGGGCCAGUGAUACAGGAGUCAGGCAAAUCACCUCACUAUCCCUUUGCACAGUAAUUUAAUGGCUGAGGUUUCCCAGGAGGAGCCAGGCGAGGAUAUGUGUGGUGAAAAGCAGCAAGGCAUCCAGGCACUGGGCAGAGGAGGUGACAUGUCUGAGGCAGGCAGCAAAAGGAGUGGCAGGUGGUAGGAAAACAGGUGGAGGUCACCUUAUACCCCGGGUCAAAGCUUUACCACACAAGCCAGAAGAAAAAGAGGGUCAUCUCUAUACAAAGAUACACCAUGUUCAGGGGCCACUGAUCCCAGAAGCCAGAGGUCACGUGAAGCAGCUCUGACAGGGCUCCCUUCAGCAAAUUCUACCCCAGUAGACACCACUGCUGCUAUAACCACUUCUUUUACAGAUCUUUCCUUAGACAGCAUGAGGUGAUUUAACAGUCAGACUCUCCAGCCCUCUGGAAAGCCUUGGGGAGAGUCAGAGCAGCACACUGCCAGCACCACUGACCUCAUUUUUCUGAAUGGAACCGGAGACAGAAAGGCAGCUCACAGGGUUCAAAUAAAUGCCACCAUUCCUAAACGUCUCCUGCAGUCAGAGCAAUAUCUAUCUUUAUGUAGGCAGCCUGGAGACAGUUUUACUGCCCCUCCCUCUCCAUGUUCCACAUGCUAUAUAUUUUUUUUCUUCCUAAGUAGCCAUUAGAACUCAGGUACAGUCUUGCUCUGUCUGUGGAAAAGCCUGUGCUGGCCCAGUGCUCUUGUCCACUGGCCUCUUUUCCUAAAGCUUCUGCCUGGUGAUUCUCACUGGAUUUCUGUCAAGCUGCGUGCAAAGAAAGUACCAGUCUGGAAACUCUGGAGACAUAUUAGUGUGGCACUGUGCCAGCACUAAAAUUUAUCAUAAUGGGCAGGACACAGUGUGCUAAAUCAGCUAGAGAGCUUCCAACACAGCUGCAUUACCUCCAGCCCCUCCCAAGUGUGGCCACAGCAGGGGUAUACCCAUUUACAUACAGGCAUAGCCGUUUUUUGGCUCUUUUGGAUAUUUUUAUUUUUUUCUGUCUGCCAAAGCUCGAUGGCAGGUUAUAUUUGGAUCACACCCAGUGUUGAUGUGAAUUGCUUAUACAAUAUCCCAGCUGCUCUGUUGGGAAAACAAAGCAUGUAAAACUAAUAAAGGCAAAUAAAAGCACUGAUUACAUCAGUCCUAGGAAUCCUGCUACUUGUGGGGAAUAAAGUCUAAGUAAAUAUCAAUUUUUAUAUAGUAAGAUACUAUUUAACAGCCCAUUAUUAUGUAAAUAAGGUAUGAGUUUCUCUGAUCCCCUAAGACAAAGAGACUGCUCUGUGGCCAAACAGAUUAGCCUUUUCCAUCUGUGCAAUUAUGAAUCAUAAAAGAUACUUGUGCAAUUUACUGGAAAGGAAAUAAAUAUAUGAAUCAGCUAAAGGAUGCAAUAGUCUGCACCCAGACCUCUGCUCAGCCAGCAUCACCUAUUCAGCAAGGAAAGACUAUGGUGACACCCACUGUACCACCACUGCAAAGUGCUCUGCUACAUCAGCUCCUGAGGAGUUAAAGCACCACUCGUGGAAGUAAAAUUUAACUGUCAACCAGGAAAUUAGAUUAUCUCCUCUGAGAGAAGCACCAUCAGAAGCAUCCAUCAGCACCUGCCAAGUCAUACAUCUUUAUUUCUGUUUGGUUUUGCAGACAAAAGCUUGUACUUUUCUAUUUCCUCUCAUAUGAAUGUCGACAGAGGCUUAAAAAGUCAAACUGCUGCCACACUUUCUACCUAAUUUACUGGACUGUAUCCUUCAUUUGUGUUUCCUUCUGGAAAGUAACUGGUAAAGUGUCCUUUCUGGGUUUUAUGCUGUGAGGCUCUAGAUUACACACGUUAUUUUAAAA